UUCCCUUCCCACCACCCCCUUUUUUUUUCAUUAAGAGACAUGCACUUUAGAAAACCUGCAAGAAGCCGACCAGACACUACAGGCCAGGCUGUUUAAUAAGGAACAGAAUGACCUUGGUAGACGAGGUCUCCUCUUGAGGACUCACUCCUUCUCCUGCCUCACACCCUGACCACUCCCCAAGCCUCUACCCUUCCGCAGAGCGGUUUGAGUCUCAGACACCACCUUCGCUGGACACAGAGGAUUCUGACUCCUUCUGGCCUCUCUCACCAAUUCUAAAAUCUGACGUGGACUGCAGUGUUGCCACUGAUAGUGUACAAGUACAGACCGCUGUAUCCCCGUUAAAAACAAUGAAUCAGAAGAGUCUUGUUUGGAGCCUGGGAAUUGUUAGCUUUAAAAAUCGUUCUAGUUCCAAGCACGUCUCCUUCAUCGCUGCUCACACCUGGCUCCUUGAAAUACUUUGUAUAAUUCGACCGUGGUAAGCAGAUUUUAAGGAUUGCUUCCAAGGGUACCCGGUAAUCAUCAAGAUACAG
Molecule: long non-coding RNA, 530 nt
Filed under: Fukomys damarensis (Damara mole-rat)
Lineage: Eukaryota; Metazoa; Chordata; Mammalia; Rodentia; Bathyergidae
Description: lncRNA (ENSFDAG00000027825.1)
Source: RNAcentral